Long non-coding RNA from Triticum dicoccoides, 1260 nucleotides. RefSeq lists it as uncharacterized. The transcript is spliced from 3 exons. NCBI's taxonomy places the organism in Eukaryota, Viridiplantae, Streptophyta, Magnoliopsida, Poales, Poaceae. The record is from RefSeq and is a predicted model, not a curated record.
AAUCUUAUUAUUGUAUUGUUUCUUGUACUAGUUAGAGGAGUCCUGUUAGUUUUUUUGUUUUUUAUGCUUUACUUAGGCUUUGAUGUUCAUAUUUUAAUUCAACUCGUGUGUGUUAUCUGUUGCAGCGGUGAGAUUUGUGUUUGAGGGUUUUGUUUUUGGUUCUAGCAAUUGAUUCUAUUGGGUUUAGUAGCGUACAGAUUUGCUUCAAUAUUGGUUUUGGGUAGGAUUUUCUUGUUUUUUUGUGUUUGAUAUGCAGUGAUUUUUUUUACUGUUUGGUUUUAGGGUUUGAACAGGUUGAUUCAGUGAGUCUUGUAUGUCUCUAAAGAUUAAAUCAAUUUUGUGCAUAUUGUUAUUCUGACGCAGAUUCUAGGUCAUCUGCUUUCUAAUAAACCUUUUAGGUUUGAUUCUACUUACUUUAUGCCUGUUUUAUGUUUGAUAGUCAGUUUUUUAUGUUUUAUGUUAUAUUAAGUGUGUGCCUGUUCACUAUUGAGCCCAGUUGAUGUUUUUAGGUGUAUUGAAUUUUUGGUAUAUGUCCAUGGUGUUGAUACACUUUUGCUUUUUUGGGGUAUUUGUGCAAGUUUAGUUACAUAGAGAUGCAAUUUGUUCAGAUUUAGUCAAGAUUAUGGAGGUUCUUUAUGUAAUUUAUCUUCUUCUAAGUUACCCAUCUAGAUUAGGAAUUCAUUUCUUUGAGAUAUAAUUAGAUUGUAAGCUUUUAUAUUUUUAUAGUUAAUGUAGGUUGCUCAACUUGUUUUAUGCCCCGUUGGGUAAUUACAUAAAAAAAUCCUUUUUAUGAUUGCUUCAGAAUGAUGGCCAACACAUGAGAUACAGCAGGAUAUGGACCCAAUAAUUAAAGGAAAAGGGGGUGUGUGGUCAGAUUAUCAUUUACCUUGCAAUUACCAGAAGCAGCUUGUUCUCCAGAAAUAAGGGCGAUCGGAGAAGAAUCUGUUUCUAAGGAGGAAAUUUUAGGACAAGAUCUACAGAGAGGUGACACGAAUGCAGCAAAAACUGAGGUCACCAUCACCGUCCGUGGCUGGGAGGUAGAGGUCGGGGAAGAAAGAGGAUGGAAGAAGACCUAGUGAUCUCAGCGUUAGGUGGAUCGCUAUGUUUUGAGUGGAGUGGGUUGCUUAGCGGGUCCAGGCCGGUUUUGCGUUUGGGCUUAAAAAAGGCAGAAACAGAUAACGUAAAUUUCUUCAGUAUGUUUGGUUGUUUGCCUGUUGGGCUCGUUUCGACUGACCUUAAUUCUGGUUCAGUCAGUUUUCA